AUGAUCAAAUUUAGUGCCUUAAAAGCAGAUGAUCAAAUUUAGUGUCUUAAAAGCAGAUGAUGAGUAAAUUUACUUUUUUACGUAACUAAUGAAGAAUAAAUGUUCAGGCCUAUAAGUAGUUUCUCAUCAGAUAAGAGUCAGAUUUGCAGUCUUAUACAGAUGAUAAGUAAAUAUGCAGCUGUUUCUCUGCGUAUAAAAUAAAUUUACUGCAUUACGUAACUGAUGAUGAAUAAAUUUACUACUGUACAUCACGCGAUAGAUUUACUGUCUUACCUAGCCGAUGAAGGGCGAGUGUAGAUUUACAGUUGCAUCUCUUCAGAAGAAAGCCAGAUUUACAAGUUUUACACGGCCGAUGAAUAGCGGAUUUACUGUUUUUUACUAUCCGAUAGAAGUAAAUUUACUGUCUUAAGUCAGCCUGGUGAAGGUAAAUGUAGAUUUACAGUUGUAUCUCUUCAGAAGAAGGCCAGAUUUACACAGCCGAUGAAGAGCGAGUGUGUAAUUGUGUCUCAUCAGAUGAAGAGCAGAUUUACUGUUUUACUGCCCGAUAAAAGUAAAUUUACCGUCUUAAGUCAGCCUUGAUGAAGGGUAAAUCUUCUCUGUCUUACAAACCGACGUACUGAAGAAAGACACACUUUCUACUUCGCUGUAGGAUAAAUUUAUCAUUUAAACUCGUCCGAUAAGAAAACACAUUUAUAGUUUUUUAUUUUUUUACCUCGACCGACAGAGGAAAAGGAUGAAAAGAAGGGGGAAAAAUAGAGAAUAUUCUAAACGAACAGUAUUUUAAAAGAAGUAAAACAAGAUAGAAAAGGUACAUCUGUAAUCUGACUGGAACAAAUCGUUUAACACAUCAUUGUGUUUGUUAAAGUCGAGAUUGCUCGACCAUGAUAUCCGACCAUACUUUCAUCCAUCUGGGCCCCGUACGUGACCACCGUCCCGCAUUAAGCUAAUCUACAGGCAGAUGGUUGCAAAUCACAAUAGCUGCAGAUGCAGAUAUCUACCAAUUACAUCUUGUCCUACCUCAGGAGGUAGGAGGAGAAACCUUGACUGGUUUACUGACCUGACGUUCGAGUGCGUGGUUUCUUGCGUGCUCCUAACUUUUACUAAAGCCGCGUCUGUCAAUAAGACGGGGAAACACCCCGUCUAUUUUUGACUCUCCCGUUUGAAGAAAAAUCGGUUUUUCGGUUAUUUUGUUUCCAACUGGCACGUGGCCCAAAAUUCACCCAAUGGCGAUAUCGGCACCACUUACUUAGGUGGUGGAAGAACAAAGAAAGUGUCCGUUGUAAAAUUUAAUGUACUUUUUUUUUUAUUGUUUGUUUCUUCGGCUUAGAGAGGUUUGACGUCACCGUUUUGGAAAGUUGCCAGAACCAUUUUGGAAUGAAACUGCCAUCUGGUGCUGUAGAGGCGCGGAAGGAUAGAUUUUUUUUUUUUUUUCGCUUUCUUUUUGUCUCGCCUCUUUCUUCAUCCCGAAUGCUUUGCACAGAACUAAUAACUGUUCCGAAAUGUGCGCCUUUUUACGAUUACAUCCUCUACUUUUUUUUACGUUUAUUAAAAAUCGUAUUAAUCCAGUUUCCGAGAAAAACGUGGACAAGCCGUGAUUUAACCGCAAAUUUCUCGACCGGUAUUACACCCAACCAGAACCCUAUUAUUGACCCGAGUUUCUGUGGUCAUUUAAACGGUACUGUAACAAGCUGGUAAACGUUGCGGCCCCCGGAGUGCUCGUGUGACUCCAGAAAAAUGCCCUCCUUUCCACAAUGGAAGGAAGUAUCGCCGCUAUUCUUUGACGUUAGCCAAACUCGCGUGUGAUCUGUCAAUAUCUUACAUUGUUAAGUAUCUAUCGGUGAAAACCGUUCUGCAAUUUGCAAGUUUCUACUUGGCAUAUUUCGCAUAUACAUAUGCCACCUGACAGAACGGGAUUGAGGAAAAGAAGAAGAAGAAAAACAGGAAAACUAAUAGGAAAGCCACGAAUGAUUUGUGUCCUUCACCCAUUUUGCACCCUACUCCCGUUUCCACCAACAGUUAACCAUUCUGUGUAAUUCGACACGUCAUCUCUUCACCUGACCUAACAUAUCGUUUCAAAUGGCCACUUCAACCUUUACGUUCUCCCCAGAAGUGCCGGGAAUUUUGAGAAAGUCAAACAGUUAUCUAGAAAUUUAUACACUCGUAUAUAAAAAUAUGAACUUUUAUUUUUUGAUUCCGUUUAUCAGAUUUAAAAUCUUUAAUAACGUUCGCGUUUUAUAUUUAGUUACAAGACAGAGAGAGUUGUCAAAAAAGUUGCAUCAGUUACUGAUAUAAUUAUAUAUUUAUAGGACUAUACAAAAACCAGGAAUACAGCAACAACAACAACAACGCUUACGGAUUACCAGCUUCCGGGCCUUGGGCUAAUAUAUACGUUUACACUGAAUUUGGGGGCCUAAAAACCAUCAACCCUGAACUUUCUACUUCCGUGAACCUUGGCUGCUGCUAUUUAGCUCUUGAAUAAAUUUGCCUAAGGGUAUUAUGCAGGAAUUUUGAUGUUUUCAAUUGUAAAAGUAUAUCUCUUAAAAGAUAAGAGUGCAUAACAAAUUUCACAAGUCGCGCUCGAAAAUAAAUAUUGUAAUCGCGUUAAAGAGGACGACGACGAUGAUGAUGAUGACUUUUUUUUUAAAAAAGUAAAAUUCGCAUUGCUUUUUGCUUUAUAUACUUCGCCAAAAUAUAUAUAAAGUUCCUCGACUCCACUAGAUUAGGAUCUACAAAAUUCUGACUGAAUACAAUGCAGUGCAGGCACGUUACCUUUUUUUCCUCUAAUCGUGUCUUUUAUGCUUGACUACAUCUUUAAAAAAAUGUUAUCAAGGGUGUAUAGCAUACAGAAUGGAAAUCUGAUAUUUUCUUAGUUAAAUCGGAUCUCCGAGUGGGAAGUUUCUCGAUUUUUGGACAGAAACUGGCAUUGGUAAACGUGGAGAUAACCGAAGACAGAUAGCUUACAUACAAACAUAUUACAGACCCUGACUUAAAAAGUUUAUCUAAGUCUGGAAUGUAUUAGAAACACGAAUGACACUGUCGACUUGUGUAUAUAUAUAUAUACACGAAUAGAAUGCUGAAGGUUUGGUAUUGUGGUGCUGUUAACGAAAAUCGUUGAUGUCACCAAACGAGUCGCAUAUGUAAUUAUACAAUGGUUGCGCUCGUUAAUGUUUGCAGGAUGAUAAAAAAAAAAAUAGCAUGUUUCAACCUCCUACUAUCAGUCUUUACAGGAGUGUAGCAAUGCGGAGUCGCUUCGUGGCGUUUCCUUUGAUGGUAAUUAUUCCGGGAACCAGUUAUCUAAUCAUUUUGAAAUUUGAACAGAUGUCGUCUAAUCCACAUAAUGAACUUUUUCUCGAUAUUUUGACGUCAAAACGAGCCGUUUUAGACACCCAGUCUACGUUUCGAAGCCAGACCAGUGUAUGUGUUGUUAAUGGUACCUUUUACGCUUGGCAUCUUUUCGCGAUUAAAAAUAAUAAUAACUAAAUUUAUUUCGUAACAAGUUGGACGGUUGUUACCAUCAAACUUUUCCUACACAAAAGUAUGCAUUGUUCGACUAAAAUUGUAAACGUUUACGUUUUUAUUGCGUGCAAUCUACCUAACAAAUUCCACCAUUCUGUAAGUAAGUAAAUAAAAAAGUUGUAUAAUCUCUU
This 3647-nucleotide long non-coding RNA is filed under the name Androctonus crassicauda. Lineage: Eukaryota; Metazoa; Arthropoda; Arachnida; Scorpiones; Buthidae. The record is from RNAcentral.